RNAcentral lists this unclassified non-coding RNA (221 nucleotides) under Melitaea cinxia (Glanville fritillary). RNAcentral's name for it is "misc RNA ENSMCXG00005001382.1". Lineage: Eukaryota; Metazoa; Arthropoda; Insecta; Lepidoptera; Nymphalidae. The record is from RNAcentral.
AUUUUCGUUAGUAUCUCACAGGGCCUCGUACAGUAACUUUGCCUAUAAAAUGCCGUUCUUUUGUAAUUAAAUGGCGCAAAAACAAUACCAAAGUGAACAAAAAGUCUGAAGAAAUAUCGUUUCACACGACCUACCGGAUAAGUCUAAAGUCAGUCGUUAACCAAGAUUCAAUCUUUGAUACACCUAGAAAACAUAAACUAAGAGAAAAGUUAAAAAAAAAC